Molecule: long non-coding RNA, 871 nt
Organism: Hyla sarda
Lineage: Eukaryota; Metazoa; Chordata; Amphibia; Anura; Hylidae
Exons: 4
Source: RefSeq, a predicted model, not a curated record
CAAUAUGGUCCGCAUUAUACCUAGUUAUGUAGUAAUACUGGAAAGGAGAUUCAUUACAGGCUGGGAUUUGCCAUUCUAAAAUCUAAGAAGGUUGGGGACACCCCCCUCAGCUUGAGCCACACAAACCUCAGCCUCAUUAACGGCCCCGCCCAUCUGACGAUAUAGGGAUCGUGGUGUCUAGUGGUACGCCCCCCGCACCUGAGAGCUUUGGCUCUCGCUCCCCGCACCUCCAGCUAUUGACUUGCCGUCUGCUGUAUGGACACUUGGAAUAAAGCAUCGUUUGGCAAAUACUUCUCAGUGGUUCUUUACUUAGAGGGAGUUUAAAGUCUAUUCCUGAGAGAAGAGGGCUGAACAAGGAUCUCUCUGCAAUACACUGAUCUCUACAUCUAUACAUCCUUCCAGAUUUCAAGAAAACUUUGGCUAAGAGUAAAGCGAAAAGACGUUCUUGUCGCCUUCACCUCCCUGAACAUUUUUUUUUUUUUUUUAACGAGAAGAGCCCCCCUUUAAUUAUAGCAACUUCGCAAUCCACAAGCUCGGAGAACAGAAGACGACCCUGGCGAGAUGGAGAAUGUUUAGCAGUUAAUUCCAGUACCAGACAGUUGCCCCGAGACAGACUCGCUGCUGCCUCCGUCACCCCUUAAAAAAAAAUCACUUUAUAACUGAGAACGUGAAAAAGAAGGGCAGCGGAGACAACCAUCACACAAGUUCCAUCGGAGCGUUUCGCUACGAGACGCAACCUUGAUGAUGCCACACGGUCGACCGAUCGUGAAAAAAAGGGAUCGCUCCCAGAUGUCAUCAUUCCACCAAAAUGAAUGCCAGGAGCAGAAGUGGACACAAGGAAAAGCAUGCAGAGAACCGUCAUACCUACUGU